This 1177-nucleotide long non-coding RNA is filed under the name Takifugu rubripes (torafugu). Its description in RNAcentral is "lncRNA (ENSTRUG00000031922.1)". Lineage: Eukaryota; Metazoa; Chordata; Actinopteri; Tetraodontiformes; Tetraodontidae. The record is from RNAcentral.
GGCUGACCAGAAACCCUUGAAAGAAUCAGAAAAGCAACUGAGUCCUCCAGCAGUAGAGGACAGAGCUUCUAUCGACAUUUCCUCUUUUCAUACUGUCGAGACAGCGGUAGACUGACAGCAUCAUAACAACAUUUUAUAAUAAAAUAAAACGCAGUCUGUUCCUGUUGGAAACGCUGGUGUGAAUAGAUCUCACAGAACAGCCAUAAAUCAUCUGUACAGGCAAAUACUGAAGAUAUUCACGAGGAACAUGAUCAGCAGGACACGGCUCACUGCAUCGCUGCAGCAGAGGAAACUGGUAACGAGCUGCUCUCAACUCACCAGCAGUUGAAUGGUAAGACAAGGAAAAUACAGAAUACAUCGUUUCUUGGAGCCCUGUAAGCACAAUAUCUGCUCAUUCAGAACAAACAUCGAAGAAUGAAAAUCACUCAGAAAAGCAGGACCAGGAAACUUUACCAGAGAAAGUAAAUGCGGUAAUGUCCACCCACCUUCCACAAAUCUUUCCUCUUGUCCUCACUGAUUAAAUCACACCUGUCUGAAUCUGAAGGCAAUGAGACUUGUCAGAAUUGUCUUCAUUAUCUGCUAAACUCUGAAAUCUAUCUUGUUGGACAUGGCUGCUCGAUCAUUGUUCUUUGCUUAGUGAGAUUUUAAGCAUUUUCCUCUGCAGGAACAGUCCAGCGUUGAAGGCACUGGGGAGGAAGAUGAUCAGAACAUGAACGUCACAGCUAUGGAGGAGGAAGAGGCCUCAGUCCCAGAGAACACUGAAGUAGCCUCUAUGUGUACUGGUGCGUCUCAAGAAACAAAUCUCCGGUCUCCCUCCACAACAGGCAAAACUGAGCCUUCCACCCCAACUUUCAAAUUUAACCCUGGCUUUUCCGCACUUCAAGAGACUCCUGAUAACAAAUCUCCAGCUUUCCCAUUCUCGCUGAGCUCAGACCCCAGCCCGGCCGUCUUCCCUGGGUUCAGAUUUGACAUGGGCUCAUUACAGGAUGAGGACAUAUCCUUUGGUUUCACUGGACCUUUUUUCAGUGAGAAAAAAACCACAGAUUCAAAGGCUACAAGCCCUAAGUUUGUCUUUAAUCAGCAAAAGAAAAGUGGAGACUUCCAGUUUGGCUUCGCCUCCAAGAGUCCACAGAAAGACAACAAAGACACCGGGCUACCAUUUUCAUUUAACUUCUAA